GCCCCCGUAGCUCAAUGGAUAGAGCAUCUGCCUUCUAAGCAGCAGGCUGUGGGUUCGAAUCCCGCCGGGGGCG
RNAcentral lists this transfer RNA (73 nucleotides) under Chloroflexota bacterium. RNAcentral describes it as "Chloroflexi bacterium (anaerobic digester metagenome) tRNA-Arg". It matches the Rfam family "tRNA". Rfam says of the family: Transfer RNA (tRNA) molecules are approximately 80 nucleotides in length. Their secondary structure includes four short double-helical elements and three loops (D, anti-codon, and T loops). Further hydrogen bonds mediate the characteristic L-shaped molecular structure. tRNAs have two regions of fundamental functional importance: the anti-codon, which is responsible for specific mRNA codon recognition, and the 3' end, to which the tRNAs corresponding amino acid is attached (by aminoacyl-tRNA synthetases). tRNAs cope with the degeneracy of the genetic code in two manners: having more than one tRNA (with a specific anti-codon) for a particular amino acid; and 'wobble' base-pairing, i.e. permitting non-standard base-pairing at the 3rd anti-codon position. Lineage: Bacteria; Bacillati; Chloroflexota. The record is from RNAcentral.